UUUGGUCAAGUUACUAAGGGCGCACGGCGGAUGCCUUGGCGCUAGGAGCCGAAGAAGGACGUAGCGAACUACGAAAAGCCACGGUAAGCUGUAAGCAAGCCUUGACCCGUGGAUCUCCGAAUGGGGCAACCCACUAUGGUUAAUACCAUAGUAUCACUACCUGAAUACAUAGGGUAGUAGAAGGCAACCGGGGGAACUGAAACAUCUAAGUACCCCGAGGAAGAGAAAGAAUAAUCGAUUCCCUAAGUAGUGGCGAGCGAAAUGGGAAGAGCCUAAACACAUGUGAUGUAAGACUGCAAUCGUUGUUACAUGUGGGUUGAGGGAGCAAUUGUGGUAUCUUGCAGGAUAUCAAGGUAGUUACAAAAGUUAAUUUUAGACGAACUGUUUGGAAAGACAGGCCGUAGAAGGUGAAAGCCCUGUAGUUGAAAAGAUUAACCCUACCUAAUUGCCACCCGAGUACAGCGGGACACGUGAAACCCCGUUGGAAUCUAGGAGGACCACCUCCAAAGGCUAAAUACUACCUAGCGACCGAUAGUGAAGCAGUACCGUGAGGGAAAGGUGAAAAGAACCUCGGAAGAGGAGUGAAAAAGAACCUGAAACCGUGUGCCUACAAACAGUCAAAGCCCCAUACGCGGGUGAUGGCGUGCCUUUUGUAGAAUGAACCAGCGAGUUACGUAGUCAAGCAAGGUUAAGUGGUAAAGCCACGGAGCCGAAGGGAAACCGAGUCUUAAAAGGGCGUGAAGUUUGGCUGCGUAGACCCGAAACCGGGUGACCUACCCAUGGCCAGGGUGAAGUUUUGUUAACGCAAAAUGGAGGCCCGAACCCACUAAUGUUGAAAAAUUAGGGGAUGAGCUGUGGGUAGCGGAGAAAUUCCAAUCGAACUCGGAGAUAGCUGGUUCUCCCCGAAAUAGCUUUAGGGCUAGCCUCGGAAUAAAAUAGUGGAGGUAGAGCACUGAUUGGGCUAGGGGCCUUACCAGGUUACCGAACUCAGUCAAACUCCGAAUGCCACAUAUUUGUUUUCCGGGAGUCAGACUAUGGGUGCUAAGGUCCAUAGUCGAGAGGGAAACAGCCCAGACCAUCUGCUAAGGUCCCAAAGUAUAAGUUAAGUGGAAAAGGAUGUGGGAUUGCACAGACAACCAGGAUGUUGGCUUAGAAGCAGCCACCAUUUAAAGAGUGCGUAAUAGCUCACUGGUCAAGUGAUCCUGCGCCGAAAAUGUAACGGGGCUCAAACUUAUCACCGAAGCAAUGGAUGAUGUAAAUCAUGGUAGGGGAGCGUUCUAUUUGCGCAGAAGCUGUACCGUAAGGAGCAGUGGAGCGAAUAGAAGUGAGAAUGCUGGUAUAAGUAACGAAAAAAGAUGUGAGAAUCAUCUUCGCCGAAAACCUAAGGUUUCCUGAGGAAGGCUCGUCCUCUCAGGGUAAGCCGGGACCUAAGCCGAGGCCGAAAGGCGUAGGCGAUGGACAACUGGUAGAGAUUCCAGUGCCACCAAACUUCGUUUGAGAGAUGGGGUGACGCAGGAAGGUAGGUUAUCGCACUGUUGGUUAUGUGCGUCCAAGCUUUUAGGGAGAGUAGAUAGGCAAAUCCGUCGACUCAUAAUCCUGAGGAGUGAAGGGGACCCGAAUGAGGGGAACUAACUGAUCCUACACUGCCAAGAAAAGCCUCUAUCGAGAAGUAAGGUGCCCGUACCGCAAACCGACACAGGUAGGUAAGGAGAGAAUCCUAAGGCGCUCGGGAGAACCUUCGUUAAGGAACUCGGCAAAAUGACCCCGUAACUUCGGGAGAAGGGGUGCCUCAUUAUGGUGAGAGAAUUUACUUCUUAAGCUAGAAGAGGCCGCAGUGAAUAGGCCCAAGCGACUGUUUAGCAAAAACACAGGUCUCUGCUAAAUCGAAAGAUGAAGUAUAGGGGCUGACGCCUGCCCGGUGCUGGAAGGUUAAGGGAAGAGGUUAGCGCAAGCGAAGCUUUGAACCGAAGCCCCAGUAAACGGCGGCCGUAACUAUAACGGUCCUAAGGUAGCGAAAUUCCUUGUCAGGUAAGUUCUGACCCGCACGAAUGGCGUAACGACUUGGGCACUGUCUCAACGAAGGACCCGGUGAAAUUGUAGUACCUGUGAAGAUGCAGGUUACCCGCGACAAGACGGAAAGACCCCGUGGAGCUUUACUGUAGCCUGAUAUUGAGUUUUGGCAUUUUAUGUACAGGAUAGGUGGGAGGCUGAGAAAGUAGCACGCCAGUGUUGCUGGAGCCACCCGUGGGAUACCACCCUUAAAGUGCUGGAAUUCUAACUGUGUACCGUUAUCCGGUACUAGGACAGUGUCAGGUGGGCAGUUUGACUGGGGCGGUCGCCUCCUAAAGAGUAACGGAGGCGCCCAAAGGUUCCCUCAGAAUGGUUGGAAAUCAUUCGAAGAGUGUAAAGGCAGAAGGGAGCUUGACUGCGAGACCUACAAGUCGAGCAGGGACGAAAGUCGGGCUUAGUGACCCGGCGGUACCGAGUGGAAGGGCCGUCGCUCAACGGAUAAAAGCUACCCCGGGGAUAACAGGCUUAUCUCCCCCAAGAGUCCACAUCGACGGGGAGGUUUGGCACCUCGAUGUCGGCUCAUCGCAUCCUGGGGCUGAAGAAGGUCCCAAGGGUUGGGCUGUUCGCCCAUUAAAGCGGUACGCGAGCUGGGUUCAGAACGUCGUGAGACAGUUCGGUCCCUAUCUGUCGCGGGCGCAGGAAGUUUGAAAGGAGCUGUCCUUAGUACGAGAGGACCGGGAUGGACGAACCUCUGGUGUACCAGUUGUCAUGCCAAUGGCAGUUCUGGGUAGCCAAGUUUGGUCGGGAUAAGCGCUGAAAGCAUCUAAGCGCGAAGCCCCCCUUAAGAUAAGACUUCCCAUUCCGUAAGGAAGUAAGACCCCAGAAAGACUAUCUGGUUGAUAGGCUAGGAGUGUAAGGGUAGUAAUACCUUCAGCGGACUAGUACUAAUCGGUCGAGGACUUGACCUAAAAAACC
RNAcentral lists this ribosomal RNA (2985 nucleotides) under Alkalicella caledoniensis. RNAcentral's name for it is "Clostridiales bacterium LB2 23S ribosomal RNA". It matches the Rfam family "Bacterial large subunit ribosomal RNA". The record is from RNAcentral. Lineage: Bacteria; Bacillati; Bacillota; Clostridia; Eubacteriales; Proteinivoracaceae.